UGGGGUGUAGCCAAGCGGUAAGGCACCGGGUUUUGAUCUCGGUAUGCGGAGGUUCGAUCCCUCCCACCCCAACCA
This 75-nucleotide transfer RNA is filed under the name Alphaproteobacteria bacterium. RNAcentral describes it as "tRNA-Gln". It matches the Rfam family "tRNA". From Rfam's summary of the family: Transfer RNA (tRNA) molecules are approximately 80 nucleotides in length. Their secondary structure includes four short double-helical elements and three loops (D, anti-codon, and T loops). Further hydrogen bonds mediate the characteristic L-shaped molecular structure. tRNAs have two regions of fundamental functional importance: the anti-codon, which is responsible for specific mRNA codon recognition, and the 3' end, to which the tRNAs corresponding amino acid is attached (by aminoacyl-tRNA synthetases). tRNAs cope with the degeneracy of the genetic code in two manners: having more than one tRNA (with a specific anti-codon) for a particular amino acid; and 'wobble' base-pairing, i.e. permitting non-standard base-pairing at the 3rd anti-codon position. The record is from RNAcentral. Lineage: Bacteria; Pseudomonadati; Pseudomonadota; Alphaproteobacteria.